RNAcentral lists this ribosomal RNA (252 nucleotides) under uncultured bacterium. RNAcentral's name for it is "partial 16S ribosomal RNA". It matches the Rfam family "Bacterial small subunit ribosomal RNA", at positions 524 to 776 of the family's 1533-position model. The record is from RNAcentral.
GCCGUAGGGGGCAAGCGUUGUCCGGAAUUACUGGGCGUAAAGGGCGUGUAGGCGGUGCGAUACGCAGCGGUUUUAAGCCUCCGGCUCACCCGGAGGAGGGCGGCUAAACGGUCGCACUGGAGGGCAGGAGAGGUGCGUGGAAUUCCUGGUGGAGCGGUGAAAUGCGUAGAGAUCAGGAAGAACACCAGUGGCGAAGGCGGCGCACUGGCCUGGCCCUGACGCUGAGGCGCGACAGCGUGGGGAGCAAACGGG